GACGAACGCUGGCGGCGCGCCUAACACAUGCAAGUCGAACGGAGUCAAGAGGAGCUUGCUUUUCUUGACUUAGUGGCGAACGGGUGAGUAACGCGUGAGUAACCUGCCCUGGAGUGGGGGACAACAGUUGGAAACGACUGCUAAUACCGCAUAAGCCCACGGAUCUGCAUGGAUCUGCGGGAAAAGGAUUUAUUCGCUCUAGGAUGGACUCGCGUCCAAUUAGCUAGUUGGUGAGGUAACGGCCCACCAAGGCGACGAUUGGUAGCCGGACUGAGAGGUUGAACGGCCACAUUGGGACUGAGACACGGCCCAGACUCCUACGGGAGGCAGCAGUGGGGGAUAUUGCACAAUGGGGGAAACCCUGAUGCAGCGACGCCGCGUGGAGGAAGAAGGUUUUCGGAUCGUAAACUCCUGUCGUUAGGGACGAUAAUGACGGUACCUAACAAGAAAGCACCAGCUAACUACGUG
RNAcentral lists this ribosomal RNA (468 nucleotides) under uncultured bacterium. RNAcentral's name for it is "partial 16S ribosomal RNA". It matches the Rfam family "Bacterial small subunit ribosomal RNA", at positions 28 to 507 of the family's 1533-position model. The record is from RNAcentral.